Molecule: transfer-messenger RNA, 407 nt
Filed under: Anaerolineae
Lineage: Bacteria; Bacillati; Chloroflexota
Also listed under: 2 other names
Description: JAGVTM01 sp020634515 Standard tmRNA
Rfam family: transfer-messenger RNA
About the family: Bacterial tmRNA, also known as 10Sa RNA or SsrA, is named for its dual tRNA and mRNA-like properties. Its role is to liberate the mRNA from a stalled ribosome.
Source: RNAcentral
GGGGAUGACAGGCUUCGACGGGGAAGGCUGGUCCUGGACUGCAAGCCGAGCACGCUUUACACCUCGUAAAACUGGAAGCACACAAGAAGUGCCAACCGCACUCCUAACUACAGCGCUCUUCCGUUGGCUGCGUAAGCUAACCUAAAGCGCCGGUCGCCAAGAAGGUGACCACGUCCACCUCAACUGCUCGUUGGCCGGAAGAGAUGUGGGCGUCAUAAUAGCCAACGUGCGCCUCCGCGACACCGAUAGCGGCGGCUAAGCGACUCUUUCGGGAGUCAUCGGUUAGCUGAGGUCCGACCCUGUUCGCCGGGGCCGCUUCAGUGAAAAUCAAGUAGGCGGACUAAGCUUGUAGACGUGCAGCAGAUCGAAUUUUUCGGACGUGGGUUCGAUUCCCACCAUCUCCACUC